RNAcentral lists this ribosomal RNA (460 nucleotides) under uncultured bacterium. Its description in RNAcentral is "partial 16S ribosomal RNA". It matches the Rfam family "Bacterial small subunit ribosomal RNA", at positions 338 to 795 of the family's 1533-position model. The record is from RNAcentral.
CCUACGGGAGGCAGCAGUGAGGAAUAUUGGUCAAUGGACGAGAGUCUGAACCAGCCAAGUAGCGUGAAGGAUGACUGCCCUAUGGGUUGUAAACUUCUUUUAUAUGGGAAUAAAAUGUUCCACGUGUGGGAUUUUGUAUGUACCAUAUGAAUAAGGAUCGGCUAACUCCGUGCCAGCAGCCGCGGUAAUACGGAGGAUCCGAGCGUUAUCCGGAUUUAUUGGGUUUAAAGGGAGCGUAGGUGGAUUGUUAAGUCAGUUGUGAAAGUUUGCGGCUCAACCAUAAAAUUGCAGUUGAAACUGGCAGUCUUGAGUACAGUAGAGGUGGGAGGAAUUCGUGGUGUAGCGGUGAAAUGCUUAGAUAUCACGAAGAACUCCGAUUGCGAAGGCAGUUCACUGGACUGCAACUGACACUGAGGCUCGAAAGUGUGGGUAUCAAACAGGAUUAGAUACCCCUGUAGUC